This 340-nucleotide ribosomal RNA is filed under the name uncultured Spirochaetota bacterium. RNAcentral's name for it is "bacterial SSU rRNA". It matches the Rfam family "Bacterial small subunit ribosomal RNA", at positions 29 to 351 of the family's 1533-position model. The record is from RNAcentral. Lineage: Bacteria; Pseudomonadati; Spirochaetota.
AACUAACGCUGGCGGCGUGCCUAACACAUGCAAGUCGUACGGUAGUCCUUGAGCUUGCUUAGGGAUGAGAGUGGCGAACGGGUGAGUAACACGUGGAUAAUCUGCCUCCGGGUUGGGGAUAACUGUCCGAAAGGGCAGCUAAUACCGAAUGAGAUGGUGGUUACAUAAGUAGCAGCCAUUAAAGGUGGGGACCGCAAGGCCUACUGCCUGGAGAUGAGUCCGCGGCUGAUUAGCUUGUUGGUGGGGUAACGGCCUACCAAGGCGACGAUCAGUAGCCGGCCUGAGAGGGUGAACGGCCACAUUGGGACUGAGAUACGGCCCAGACACCUACGGGAGGCAG